AUGUCUCUGGCGUUCAUGGCUGCACUGCAUGUAGUAACAGGCAAACUUUCUUGGCUCGCCUCUCUCAUUCUCAUCAUGGGAACCAUCUCUCUUGUCAUUCUUUUUCCAGACUCCGUAAUAAGUUUGGUUCCACUUGACUGGAAUCUGCCUCUGGUGCGUUCUGUCUCCUACUGCAUCUGUCGACUAUUGGUUUUCGUAUUUUUAAGAGACUAUGAUGCUGAACCUCCUGCUUACUUAUCGGAAAAAUCCGGCAGCAAGAAUAAGAAAAAAAAAUCUAAGAAAAAAAAAAUCUAAGGACAAGGA
This 303-nucleotide unclassified non-coding RNA is filed under the name Hevea brasiliensis (rubber tree). Lineage: Eukaryota; Viridiplantae; Streptophyta; Magnoliopsida; Malpighiales; Euphorbiaceae. The record is from RNAcentral.